GACGAACGCUGGCGGUGUGCUUAACACAUGCAAGUCGAACGGAAAGGCCCUGCUUUUGUGGGGUGCUCGAGUGGCGAACGGGUGAGUAACACGUGAGUAACCUGCCCUUGACUUUGGGAUAACUUCAGGAAACUGGGGCUAAUACCGGAUAGGAGCUCCUGCUGCAUGGUGGGGGUUGGAAAGCUUCGGCGGUUGGGGAUGGACUCGCGGCUUAUCAGCUUGUUGGUGGGGUAGUGGCUUACCAAGGCUUUGACGGGUAGCCGGCCUGAGAGGGUGACCGGCCACAUUGGGACUGAGAUACGGCCCAGACUCCUACGGGAGGCAGCAGUGGGGAAUAUUGCACAAUGGGCGGAAGCCUGAUGCAGCAACGCCGCGUGCGGGAUGACGGCCUUCGGGUUGUAAACCGCUUUCGCCUGUGACGAAGCGUGAGUGACGGUAAUGGGUAAAGAAGCACCGGCUAACUACGUG
RNAcentral lists this ribosomal RNA (468 nucleotides) under uncultured bacterium. Its description in RNAcentral is "partial 16S ribosomal RNA". It matches the Rfam family "Bacterial small subunit ribosomal RNA", at positions 28 to 507 of the family's 1533-position model. The record is from RNAcentral.